RNAcentral lists this long non-coding RNA (263 nucleotides) under Elaeis guineensis (African oil palm). Its description in RNAcentral is "long non-coding RNA (EGUI_LNC052195)". The record is from RNAcentral. Lineage: Eukaryota; Viridiplantae; Streptophyta; Magnoliopsida; Arecales; Arecaceae.
GCCGCCAACUUAUUUUUUUUCUCCUUAUAUGUGUGAUAUUUUGAAGAGAUUUUUUAUGAAAAAUUAGUUGGAGAAUUGAUUUACCAUAAAAAAAUAUGGGAAGGGGCAUCUUAUAUUUUUUUUGGUAUAUUUUGGUAUGAACUUUUGAAUAGGGGCGACAACACAUCAAAAGUCCAUGAUCUCUAGGACCCUUCACCCCACCUCCUUACACAUUGAAAUAAAAAGAGUUUUAUUUCAUUCUUGUGUGUGUAAGAGAUCUGAGA